Molecule: non-coding RNA, 79 nt
Filed under: Wenxinia marina
Lineage: Bacteria; Pseudomonadati; Pseudomonadota; Alphaproteobacteria; Rhodobacterales; Roseobacteraceae
Also listed under: 1 other name
Source: RNAcentral
CCCCGGCGCCGUGGCGAUUUGUCAGCCGGAUUGCGGGCCACGUUAAACAUUCCGCUAAAGAGGUGAGGAGGACGACUGC